AUAUCUUCCUGAUUUAUUUUUCUGAGAUAACUACAUUGGUUAGAACUUCUAAAACAAAGGUGAGUGAUAAUAGUGGUCAUAAAUAUCCUUAUCUCAUUUAUGACUUUAUGAUAAAAGAAUUUUAAAAAUAUUUCAAACAUCAAAAUAAUAAAAUGUUGUAAUUCAGACAACUUUUUCCAUAUAGUUUUCUUAUAAACAGUCCUUUAAAUACAAACUCUGGAUUGCUUCUAAAUUGUGACAUUCUCUUUUGGGAAAAAAGUACUAAACAUUUUACAUUAAAACAAUCUUUUUUAACUAAAUUGAACACAUACUUUUAAUAAAGACCACAGUAAUUUUUAACACUGGAAAUACAAAGGAUAAAAUAGAAAAUUAUUUUAUUCUUGCAAAUUAAUUUGCAAGACAAAAGAAAUUCAGACAAUAAUGCAGUUUGUACAAUAACCCAAAAUCAAUUAUUUUGUUAAAUAAUAUAUAUGAUAUAAAUAACAGAAAAAAUUAGAACACCAUUUGCAAUAAAAAAUAUUGAGCCCUUUAACUUUAAGGAUAACAUUUUCAUCUAGUAUUCUUGACUUCUUGUGUUUUCGACCUAAAACAGCAUAUACAUUUGGAAAGGAGACUCAAUUUUUCACAAUUCAUACCCCUAUACUCCCACACCCUGAGAAGGCAUAUAAAUUAUUUCUAGAUAUGAAGGUCUUUAAUAUAAAUCAUGCCCCUAAAUUGCUAAGCCCCAAAAUGAGGAAUACUGAAGUCACAAAACAUUUAAGCUCUUCUUUAAGUUAAACAACAGAAGAAAGGACACUAUAUCAAAACUCUACACUAAGUCAAAUAUUCUAGAAGAUUUCCCAAGCCUUAACAAAAUACAUGAUUGCUUGAGGGUUGUAAGUCCAAAGGCAAAAUUGUAAAGCAGAAUAAGAACAUAUUUACUGAACAUUUAUAAAUGAGCCAGACUCUAAGCUAUGAGCCUUAUAUACAUUAUCUCCUAUCACUGAUUUACCUUAUCCCAGCAAGGAAAGUAUUGCCACACUACUGGCUUCACAUUGCCCUUGCUACACAAUCUUCCAUAAGCACUUUCUGUAUAUGGAUUGUAAAUGGCUCCUUGGGACUGACCAUAUGUCUUCUGGAGAAAGGUUGGGGAAGCUUCACUGCAAACAUGGUCUGAGCUUAGGCUGGUCACAGAUUGAUUACUUGGAGACCACUGCAAUCAGCAAAUAAGAGUAACCAUAUACUAGCAUCAGUGAUAGGGGACAAGGUACAAUGACACUGAAGUGGGUCCAGAUGGUCUUCUUUUUUACUGCUCUUAUGGGACACUUUCCUUGAAUUAGAGUAAGGCUGGCUAAGAAACUCCGGAUUUACUUUUUUACAGAUUUUCCAGAAUAUCAAAUAAGGGAAAUUGAUCAAGCAAAACAUACCAAUUCAACAAAACUAGCCCACAGAGCAGUUAUAGUACCUUACAGUAAAAGAUGCUACAAAUUUAAGCAACCUCGGGUUUUCUUCAUUCUUUAAUACACCAACACAUCUAACACAUGUGUGAACUAUUCAUUUGGAAGAGCCAAAAGACUAUCAAAUAAGUUUAUUGCUUCAUAUAUAUCUAUUCCUGGUAUUCAUAUUCCUGUACCAAGCUUCAAGCAAAGAAGGAGCAUCCAAAUUAAGCCUAAGAAAUAGAAAGUAUCUGGAAAGAAUCAACAGUGCCUAAUGAGUAGGUACGGCAUGGAAUCAAGAUAUGAAAUUCUAUAUGUUGAGCUGCUGAUACGUUUUGGAGAGAUACUACACAUAUGUCUCUGCUCUGAUGUCAUAAAGCUUUGAUCACAUCAAGUUUCAAUGGCUUACAACUGCUUCACUUUUACACAGAAUUUUUGAACUAAAAGGGCCCUCAGAGAGAAUCUCGCCUGAUCCAUUCAUUUUGAAUAAUACAAACUGACUUUCUUCAUUCUGGACGACUUUUUCCAAGGGGCAACGAGCCCAACUAGCAACAUUCAAUAUCUGGGCUUCACCUUGACCCAGAAAAUGCAAAUCAAACUAUGCUGAAAGCUUCAUACAAAGGAACUGAAAGAUUGAUUCCUACAAGGUACAGCAUGGAAUGUUAUAAUUUCAUACCAGGGUAGGUAAGUUUUUGAUAAAAGCACUUGCUGAGAUUUCUAAUUUCUUCCCUCAAGGGCAUGAAACUAAGCAAAUUAAUCACUCUAACAUCUAGACUCUUAAGGCAGAGGCCCAUUUAUUAGAAUAUGUUCAAUAGCAGAAGACAUGCUAUGUAUCAUCACACGCCCGCACCUGAUCCUCAACUCUCUGGGCCCAGCGAGCAGCAUCGUUACAGACGCUUAACACAGUUUAACGAAUUUCUCUGAUACACCAACAGUGGCUUGGUCCAUGGUUCCACGGCUCUGCCUCCCAGGGACCAUCAACAACCAAAGGCCCUUUCUCAGUGGUUUUCUUUGAGAUGUUCAGAAGACACCCACACACACCUAACACUGCCCCCACCCACCUGGUUCUGUACCCUUAUAGAGUUGAACAGUUCUCCCUUCCAGCCAAGGGCAGAAAUGAGGAACCUGCCAGAUCGGAGAGUUCCCAAAUCUAAUCACCAUUUAUGCUAGAAUUCCUUCAGCUGCAAAUAAUGCAGGGUCUCAUCUUAGCAGUGACAAGAUAUCUGCCAGCAGCACCAGGCCUACAUCUUCCCAGCUUUAAAUUCAGUGAAAAGACAGGAUCUCUUUCUAAAGCACUGCAAUAAAAUUUCCAGAAUGAAAACUCAUCAGCUUAAUUGGCCUCUGUUGGUUAUCUGCCCAUUUGUGAACCAAUCACUGUGGUCUGAGAGGUGCAAGGACUCCUCUGAUUGGCCUGGCCUGGGCCAUUUGCCCACUUCCGGCAUCAGAAGGAAGGACAGUUUCAAAAGGCAAACUGGGUGUUGCUACAGGAGAGCAUUCAGGCAAACCACAGCCAAUCUCAGGACUCUCCUUGUUCUGCCUUGUCUUCAAAUCCUCUUGCACAUUUUUCCAGCCUCGGACCCGCUGUGCCUCACCAUGUUCAUCUAGCAUAGGACCCUCAAUACAUUUCUCUGACACAGGGAAAACCCAUUUGGUGUAGUGAAUGACCCUAGAGUCAAACAGCCUGGGUUCUAAUUCUGGCUCUAUCAUUUUAGCAAGCUGUAUAAUCUCUCCGUGCCUCAGUUUCCUCAUCAAAAAAAAAAAGGCAGGUGGGCUGGGAGCAGUGGCUCAUG
This 3205-nucleotide long non-coding RNA is filed under the name Homo sapiens (human). Its description in RNAcentral is "HSALNT0308101". The record is from RNAcentral. Lineage: Eukaryota; Metazoa; Chordata; Mammalia; Primates; Hominidae.